AAGAGCCGAACAAUUCCAGUGUAGUUGAUCUAAAACUUUAAUUACUUAAAAAAAGCAAAAGAAAACUUACUGAGAAAAUUGUUCCUUCUCCUUCAAAUCAAAUUGUAAACCCUCCGUCAAUUGAAGGAACUUGUAAAUCCAAAUUCUAAACAACUGAGGCAGCGGAAAGAACAGGUAAAUCCCCCAAUUUAUUUAUUUUCAAUCUCUAUGAUUCUAUUACUAUUGUUGCUUCACAUGCAUGUCCUUAAAUGGAAAUGGAAUUGGAGAAAGCAAUAGUAUAAUGGGGCCAUCAGCUGCUUCAGCUUGCUUUGGUAGUGCUAAAACUCACAACUAGAUACAGAGAAUUCGCUAUUAUGCGAGUUUAGUUCCUAUUAAUUCCUCCGCCAUUACGAUUCACUUUCUCUGCUCCAAUAUCGAAUGUUAUGUUUUUUUUUAAGUAAGCAAAAAGCUUCCCUGAAUUUUUGUGACGAAUGGGUAGUUUUGUUUUAGCCUAUUGUUGAUAUUUCUAGGUGUUGGGUGUCUUUAAAUCUUUUGUUAUAUUUACUAUGCAGUAAAUUCUUGACUCAUAACAACAAGAGAGACUAGUAGCAAUUGAAAAUUUAAAAAAAAAAAUGCUUUACGUUCUUUUGAUCUCAUUUACCAUUUUUCCCCCAUAAGCUUGUUUUUUAUAACACUAAUGCCUCUAUGGACUUGGAAUGGGUCUUGAAUAGGAUUUCUUCUGUCCAUGAUUCUUCAUCAGAGAAUGCCAAUUAACAACCAAGAAUUUGGCUUCUUUUUGCAUAUCAUUCAAUCGACCUUAUUUAAGGUUAUGACGCUUCAUAUUUUAUUUUGCUCCUUGUAAUAUGCCUUGUUGUAGUCUCAUAUAUUUUUUUAAAUAAAAUAUUUAUUGUAGUCUCAUAUUAUUACAUUACAAGUUUGCAAUAGGAGGUAUCUGUAAAUGAGUUUAUUUAAAUUCCAUUUCAUGUUAAUCAGAACAGUAUAUUCUGGAUGGUGAUUCAUCCAUCCUCGAAAUAGGUCUUGGGUAAAAGUCUUGAAUUUCCUGAGACUUUUGACAUGUCUGAUUCAAAGACUAGCCCAGGUAGUGGUGCUAAUAAGACCCAGAAGCGAAAUCUUCCAUCAUGNNNNN
This 1126-nucleotide long non-coding RNA is filed under the name Carica papaya (papaya). Its description in RNAcentral is "long non-coding RNA (CPAP_LNC012016)". Lineage: Eukaryota; Viridiplantae; Streptophyta; Magnoliopsida; Brassicales; Caricaceae. The record is from RNAcentral.